This 1370-nucleotide ribosomal RNA is filed under the name uncultured bacterium. RNAcentral's name for it is "16S ribosomal RNA". It matches the Rfam family "Bacterial small subunit ribosomal RNA", at positions 28 to 1381 of the family's 1533-position model. The record is from RNAcentral.
GAUAAACGCUGGCGGCGUGCCUAAUACAUGCAAGUCGAGCGAACGGACGAGAAGCUUGCUUCUCUGAUGUUAGCGGCGGACGGGUGAGUAACACGUGGAUAACCUACCUAUAAGACUGGGAUAACUUCGGGAAACCGGAGCUAAUACCGGAUAAUAUUUUGAACCGCAUGGUUCAAAAGUGAAAGACGGUCUUGCUGUCACUUAUAGAUGGAUCCGCGCUGCAUUAGCUAGUUGGUAAGGUAACGGCUUACCAAGGCAACGAUGCAUAGCCGACCUGAGAGGGUGAUCGGCCACACUGGAACUGAGACACGGUCCAGACUCCUACGGGAGGCAGCAGUAGGGAAUCUUCCGCAAUGGGCGAAAGCCUGACGGAGCAACGCCGCGUGAGUGAUGAAGGUCUUCGGAUCGUAAAACUCUGUUAUUAGGGAAGAACAUAUGUGUAAGUAACUGUGCACAUCUUGACGGUACCCUAUCAGAAAGCCACGGCUAACUACGUGCCAGCAGCCGCGGGUAUACGUAGGUGGCAAGCGUUAUCGGAAAUUAAUGGCGUAAAGCGCGCGUAGGCGGUUUUUUAGUCUGAUGUGAAAGCCCACGGCUCAGCCGUGGAGGGUCAUUGGAAACUGGAAAACUUGAGUGCAGAAGAGGAAAGUGGAAUUCCAUGUGUAGCGGUGAAAUGCGCAGAGAUAUGGAGGAACACCAGUGGCGAAGGCGACUUUCUGGUCUGUAACUGACGCUGAUGUGCGAAAGCGUGGGGAUCAAACAGGAUUAGAUACCCUGGUAGUCCACGCCGUAAACGAUGAGUGCUAAGUGUUAGGGGGUUUCCGCCCCUUAGUGCUGCAGCUAACGCAUUAAGCACUCCGCCUGGGGAGUACGACCGCAAGGUUGAAACUCAAAGGAAUUGACGGGGACCCGCACAAGCGGUGGAGCAUGUGGUUUAAUUCGAAGCAACGCGAAGAACCUUACCAAAUCUUGACAUCCUUUGACAACUCUAGAGAUAGAGCCUUCCCCUUCGGGGGACAAAGUGACAGGUGGUGCAUGGUUGUCGUCAGCUCGUGUCGUGAGAUGUUGGGUUAAGUCCCGCAACGAGCGCAACCCUUAAGCUUAGUUGCCAUCAUUAAGUUGGGCACUCUAAGUUGACUGCCGGUGACAAACCGGAGGAAGGUGGGGAUGACGUCAAAUCAUCAUGCCCCUUAUGAUUUGGGCUACACACGUGCUACAAUGGACAAUACAAAGGGCAGCGAAACCGCGAGGUCAAGCAAAUCCCAUAAAGUUGUUCUCAGUUCGGAUUGUAGUCUGCAACUCGACUACAUGAAGCUGGAAUCGCUAGUAAUCGUAGAUCAGCAUGCUACGGUGAAUACGUUCCCGGGUCU